Long non-coding RNA from Formica exsecta, 1631 nucleotides. RefSeq lists it as uncharacterized. The record is from RefSeq and is a predicted model, not a curated record. The transcript has 3 exons. NCBI's taxonomy places the organism in Eukaryota, Metazoa, Arthropoda, Insecta, Hymenoptera, Formicidae.
UCUUUUCCAUAAUAUGUAAUUCUGCGAGAAUACUUAUUUUUAUCUAGUUGCGGGCAAAUUUUUCAAGCUGCUUUGCUCCGUCAGUGAUUUUUUUUUUUUUUUUUUGCCGACUAAACAAUUGAUCAAAUGCGAUUUUUUUUGGAAUCUCUUCGUUCGUUUAUAACCGUCGUACACGUGGAUUUUCGUUUAGUCUUCGUAAUGUCUCAUUUUGACGAUCGAAACAUGUGCGAAUAGAACAUAUUUAUUUUCUUACAUUUUAUAUGGAAUAAAAAACUUGCACGUUAUUUAUCGUUUACGCAUUCGAGAACCUAAAUGUACUUGUGAGCUACGAUUAGAGUCGACUUUCACGUGCACAUAUACAUCGAACGUGGUUUUAGUAAAGUGCUUAAUUUUGGAGUAAAAAACAGUACCACUUGUGGCUGUUUCUAAAAAUUCUCCAUUAAUUAUGCUAGUAAUUUUAUUAGCUAAAGUCGAUCUAGAAUAUCCUCUCAUUUUGGCAUGCCUCCGUCUCGUAUCUCGAUGGAGCAUGAAUGCUUGUGGGAGGUAAAGCAAAGAGGGAAUUUGCCUUCGGAAUCCACACGAUACUGUCUGGAACCGUUUCUCUAAGUUCCCAAUAAUUCUUUAAUUCUUAAAUAUUGAAUAUAUUCUUGUAGACUCUAAGUGUACGCAGAAACUAUAUAUAGUAUUUUUAAUGAUUUUAGGACCAGAUAGGAUAAGAUAUAAAUCCAAGAACUCUAAAUGUUUUGCAUAUCUGUCUGAGAACAAUAAGGGAAAAAGAUCUCGAUUAAGGAGAAGAAUAGUUUCAAAUAGAAGAAGGGUUCACAUCAUUGGACAAAAUGCUCGUCAAGCAUUGCGUGACAUUGGUAGAACAUACUUGGACUAUCUAUCAUACAGUUCACAUAACUCUUGGGCAUUUUCCAACUUGAAAAAGGAAGUUGGAUAUCAAAAAUUCAACAUUGCUUAAAAAAUGAAAAAUAUAUCUCUACAGCAUGUGUUUGAGAAGCUUGUUGGAACAUCGCAACUACUGUUUACAAUAUUAAGAGCAGCACUAUUUUGAGAAAGAAAAUCCAUCACAGUGUCACUUAAGAUGAUUAAAAAUUCAAAUAAAAUUUAUUUUUGUGGAAUAAUCCUGUAUAAUUAUUAUAUAAAAAAAAUAUUGAAUGAGAAAAUUAAGAAGAUAUAGCAAUAUUAAUAUAUAAAAAUAUCAGCAAUGUGUAAACAGUCACAAAUACACAUGGAAUACAAAAUAAGUUGCAAAUACAAAAUUGCAUAACUUAAAUAGGUUGCAAAAGCUGUUGUUGGCGAUUUGACGAUCAAGAUAGUAGUAACAUUCCAAGGAUAAUUACAAGGAUCAGCUGAAUAGUCUUUUGCCAAGAUAAUUUUGUUAAUGUGGAGGAUGUUAUCUAGACUAGAGGAAAGACAAAAUACUUUGCAUAAAUGACGUGAUAAGCAUCAGUAUAAGAAACUUUAAAAUUUAAUACAAAGACAAUGCAAGAUAACAGAGAGUCAAUGAUUUAAAACAACUUUAAACUAUUUUGCAAUCAAUGAUAUUGUACUGUAUGAUAUUGCAUGUCAAUAUAGAUUUUGAAAAAUUUAAUAAAUUUUAUUAUCUAUAUAUACUGUGAUAUAUU